GUAGGUGGCAAGCGUUGUCCGGAAUUAUUGGGCGUAAAGCGCGCGCAGGCGGUUCUUUAAGUCUGAUGUGAAAGCCCACGGGCUCAACCGUGGAGGGUCAUUGGAAACUGGAGAACUUGAGUACAGAAGAGGAAAGCGGAAUUCCACGUGUAGCGGUGAAAUGCGUAGAGAUGUGGAGGAACACCAGUGGCGAAGGCGGCUUUCUGGUCUGUAACUGACGCUGAGGCGCGAAAGCGUGGGGAGCAAACAGGAUUAGAUACCCUGGUAGUCCACGCCGUAAACGAAGAGUGCUAAGUGUUAGGGGGUUUCCGCCCCUUAGUGCUGCAGCUAACGCAUUAAGCACUCCGCCUGGGGAGUACGGCCGCAGGGCUG
RNAcentral lists this ribosomal RNA (372 nucleotides) under uncultured organism. RNAcentral's name for it is "partial 16S ribosomal RNA". It matches the Rfam family "Bacterial small subunit ribosomal RNA", at positions 527 to 896 of the family's 1533-position model. The record is from RNAcentral.